CCUACGGGCGGCAGCAGUGGGGAAUAUUGCACAAUGGGGGGGACCCUGAUGCAGCAACGCCGCGUGGGUGAAGAAGUACUCCGGUAUGUAAAGCCCUGUCAGCAGGGAAGAAAAUGACGGUACCUGACCAAGAAGCCCCGGCUAACUACGGGCCAGCAGCCGCGGUAAUACGUAGGGGGCAAGCGUUAUCCGGAUUUACUGGGUGUAAAGGGAGCGUAGACGGCCAGGCAAGUCGGGAGUGAAAGCCCGUGGCUCAACCACGGGACUGCUUUGGAAACUGUGUUGCUGGAGUGCAGGAGGGGUAAGCGGAAUUCCUAGUGUAGCGGUGAAAUGCGUAGAUAUUAGGAGGAACACCGGUGGCGAAGGCGGCUUACUGGACUGUAACUGACGUUGAGGCUCGAAGGCGUGGGGAGCAAACAGGAUUAGAUACCCCAGUAGUC
Molecule: ribosomal RNA, 440 nt
Filed under: uncultured bacterium
Lineage: Bacteria
Description: partial 16S ribosomal RNA
Rfam family: Bacterial small subunit ribosomal RNA
Source: RNAcentral